AGUAAGGGCAAAUUAUACAGGCAGAACCCCAUAAGGCGGAAUAUUUGAAUAUCAAGCACAAAUGGGGAUCGAACAAAGGCAGAAAUGGACAGCUCUAGCAAAAGCAGCACGAGCAGUUUUCCCCAGAAGAGCAGAUUAUGGACACUUGGCGUCCAUAAAACAAAAAAUAGGGGAAGAUGUAGACAAGUUCAAAAUACGUUUUGAAAAAGAAUAUAGGUUUCACAGCGGGAUCCCUCCCGCUGACGGAGAUGAAACACCAUAUCAGCAAUGUUGAUGGGAGCUUUCCAGCCAUAUAUCUAUGCGUGGGUUAAAGAACAUUUAGUUACACUGGCAACGUCUAAUGUAACCACAGUGAUGGAAUAUGUGUGUCAAAAAAGAGAAAAACGCAAAAAAGGGAGUUGGUGCAUCUGGAGGGGGGACACACAUUUUCUGGGCAGAUCCUAUGUGUGAUUCAGAAGAAAUAUUUGCUUUCCAAGCCACCGGACCCUUCAACAGUGUCGAGGAGGUUUUCGAGGAGGCAGGGGCAGUCCUAGCGACCGAGGGGGCUUUCAGCCCAAAAAAAAAAAAAAAAAAAAAAGAAAUAGAUGGAGGAUGCAGGAAUAAUUAGACCAUGCCCAGUGGGUGCAGAAACAAGUACAGUUACAAGCCCUGCUAUCUCAGCAGAAGGUUAAAAGAUACAGGAAGAAAAAAAAAAGAAAAAAAAACUUUAGCAGACUACAUGAGAGAAAUGUUGCAGUCUAAAGAACUAUCCAUUGCAAUAUUACUGCCAGGAGAAUCUUUUUCUCCACAGGAUCCACAAACAGUGAGACCAGGAGACUGGGUGUUCGUCAAAGUCAUCAGAAGGAAAAACUGGGCAAGCCCAAGGUGGGAGGGACCAUACCAAGUGCUCCUGACCACGCCAGCAACUGUGAAGAUCGCUGAAAGACCUUCCUGAAUUCACCUCACCCACUGGCCAUUCGUCUCAACGUCGGUGAAGAAACCAACUGAUCCCUGUUCUUUAGAGUCCUGGGUAAAACAUCUUAACAUCUCUGCUAACCUAGCAAAAAUGUUUGCUGGACUCUGUUUGAGUCCAGAGAGUCCAGAUCCGCAGAGUGAGAGAGGAAAGAAGUUAAUCUACUCCACUGCCAUGAAGAUUUGGCUGGGAAAUCUCCCAGACCAUCACCCAGAGAACUUGUGGCAGAUGAAUGUGACGAUGUUGGCUGAGGA
This is a long non-coding RNA of Fundulus heteroclitus (mummichog), 1206 nucleotides long. RefSeq lists it as uncharacterized. The record is from RefSeq and is a predicted model, not a curated record. Lineage: Eukaryota; Metazoa; Chordata; Actinopteri; Cyprinodontiformes; Fundulidae. The transcript is spliced from 2 exons.